Molecule: ribosomal RNA, 460 nt
Filed under: uncultured bacterium
Lineage: Bacteria
Description: partial 16S ribosomal RNA
Rfam family: Bacterial small subunit ribosomal RNA
Source: RNAcentral
CCUACGUGAGGCAGCAGUGAGGAAUAUUGGUCAAUGGGCGCGAGCCUGAACCAGCCAAGUAGCGUGAAGGAUGACUGCCCUACGGGUUGUAAACUUCUUUUAUAAAGGAAUAAAGUGAGGCCCGUGUGCCUUUUUGUAUGUACUUUAUGAAUAAGGAUCGGCUAACUCCGUGCCAGCAGCCGCGGUAAUACGGAGGAUCCGAGCGUUAUCCGGAUUUAUUGGGUUUAAAGGGAGCGUAGAUGGGUUGUUAAGUCAGUGGUGAAAGUUUGCGGCUCAACCGUAAAAUUGCAAUUGGUACUGGACGUCUUGAGGACAGUUGAGGUAGGCGGAAUGCGUGGUGUAGCGGUGAAAUGCUUAGAUAUCACGAAGAACUCCGAUUGCGAAGGCAGCUUACUAAACUGCCACUGACAUUGAUGCUCGAAAGUGUGGGUAUCAAACAGGAUUAGAUACCCCAGUAGUC